UUAAGUUAAUAAGGGCGCACGGUGGAUGCCUUGGCACUAGAAGCCGAAGAAGGACGUGACAAACGACGAAAUGCUUUGGGGAGCUGUAAGUAAGCGCUGAUCCAGAGAUGUCCGAAUGGGGGAACCCACUAACUAAUGGUUAGUAUCCAUAACUGUUAAGGUUAUGAGAAGGAAGACGCAGUGAACUGAAACAUCUAAGUAGCUGCAGGAAGAGAAAGCAAACGCGAUUGCCUUAGUAGCGGCGAGCGAAACGGCAGGAGGGCAAACCGAAGUGUUUACACUUCGGGGUUGUAGGACUGCGACGUGGGACUUUAAAAGGAUAGAAGAAUUACCUGGGAAGGUAAGCCAAAGAGAGUAAAAGCCUCGUAUUUAAAAUUCUUUUGAGCCCUAGCAGUAUCCUGAGUACGGCGAGACACGUGAAAUCUCGUUGGAAUCUGGGAGGACCAUCUCCCAACCCUAAAUACUCUCUAGUGACCGAUAGUGAACCAGUACCGUGAGGGAAAGGUGAAAAGCACCCCGGGAGGGGAGUGAAAUAGAACCUGAAACCGUGUGCCUACAACAAGUUCGAGCCCGUUAAUGGGUGAGAGCGUGCCUUUUGUAGAAUGAACCGGCGAGUUACGAUAUGAUGCGAGGUUAAGUUGAAGAGACGGAGCCGUAGGGAAACCGAGUCUUAAUAGGGCGAUUUAGUAUCAUGUUGUAGACCCGAAACCAUGUGACCUACCCAUGAGCAGGUUGAAGGUGAGGUAAAACUCACUGGAGGACCGAACCAGGGCACGUUGAAAAGUGCUUGGAUGACUUGUGGGUAGCGGAGAAAUUCCAAACGAACUUGGAGAUAGCUGGUUCUCUCCGAAAUAGCUUUAGGGCUAGCGUCGAUGUUAAGUCUCUUGGAGGUAGAGCACUGUUUGGGUGAGGGGUCCAUCUCGGAUUACCAAUCUCAGAUAAACUCCGAAUGCCAACGAGAUAUCAUCGGCAGUCAGACUGCGAGUGCUAAGAUCCGUAGUCGAAAGGGAAACAGCCCAGACCACCAGCUAAGGUCCCAAAAUAACUGUUAAGUGGAAAAGGAUGUGGGGUUGCACAGACAACUAGGAUGUUAGCUUAGAAGCAGCUAUUCAUUCAAAGAGUGCGUAAUAGCUCACUAGUCGAGUGACCCUGCGCCGAAAAUGUACCGGGGCUAAAACAGUUUACCGAAGCUGUGGAUGACACAAAAGUGUCAUGGUAGGAGAGCGUUCUAUGUGUGAAGAAGGUGUACCGUGAGGAGCGCUGGAACGCAUAGAAGUGAGAAUGCCGGUAUGAGUAGCGAAAGACAGGUGAGAAUCCUGUCCACCGUAAGACUAAGGUUUCCAGGGGAAGGCUCGUCCGCCCUGGGUUAGUCGGGACCUAAGGAGAGACCGAAAGGUGUAUCCGAUGGCCAACAGGUUGAUAUUCCUGUACUAGAGUAUAUAGUGAUGGAGGGACGCAGUAGGCUAACUAAACCGGACGAUUGGAAGAGUCCGGCUAAGCAGUGAGGUGUAAGAUGAGUCAAAUGCUUAUCUUUAUAACAUUGAGCUGUGAUGGGGAGCGAAUUUUAGUAGCGAAGUUAGUGAUGUCACACUGCCAAGAAAAGCUUCUAGCGUUUAAUGAUACUCUACCCGUACCGCAAACCGACACAGGUAGUCGAGGCGAGUAGCCUCAGGUGAUCGAGAGAACUCUCGUUAAGGAACUCGGCAAAAUGACCCCGUAACUUCGGGAGAAGGGGUGCUGACUUAGGUCAGCCGCAGUGAAUAGGCCCAAGCAACUGUUUAUCAAAAACACAGCUCUCUGCUAAAUCGUAAGAUGAUGUAUAGGGGGUGACGCCUGCCCGGUGCUGGAAGGUUAAGAGGAGGGUUUAGCGCAAGCGAAGAUCUGAAUUGAAGCCCCAGUAAACGGCGGCCGUAACUAUAACGGUCCUAAGGUAGCGAAAUUCCUUGUCGGGUAAGUUCCGACCCGCACGAAAGGCGUAAUGAUUUGGGCACUGUCUCAACGAGAGACUCGGUGAAAUUUUAGUACCUG
Molecule: ribosomal RNA, 2028 nt
Filed under: Streptococcus pyogenes ABC020053240
Lineage: Bacteria; Bacillati; Bacillota; Bacilli; Lactobacillales; Streptococcaceae
Description: bacterial LSU rRNA
Rfam family: Bacterial large subunit ribosomal RNA
Source: RNAcentral